UGCGGGAUAGCGCAGUCCGGUAGCGCGCCUGGCUCAUAACCAGGAGGUCGUUGGUUCAAAUCCAACUUCCGCAUCCA
RNAcentral lists this transfer RNA (77 nucleotides) under Rhodovarius crocodyli. Its description in RNAcentral is "Rhodovarius sp. CCP-6 tRNA-Met". It matches the Rfam family "tRNA". Rfam says of the family: Transfer RNA (tRNA) molecules are approximately 80 nucleotides in length. Their secondary structure includes four short double-helical elements and three loops (D, anti-codon, and T loops). Lineage: Bacteria; Pseudomonadati; Pseudomonadota; Alphaproteobacteria; Acetobacterales; Roseomonadaceae. The record is from RNAcentral.